RNAcentral lists this ribosomal RNA (253 nucleotides) under uncultured bacterium. Its description in RNAcentral is "partial 16S ribosomal RNA". It matches the Rfam family "Bacterial small subunit ribosomal RNA", at positions 524 to 776 of the family's 1533-position model. The record is from RNAcentral.
UACAGAGGUCUCAAGCGUUGUUCGGAUUCAUUGGGCGUAAAGGGUGCGUAGGCGGCGCGGUAAGUCGGGUGUGAAAUCUUGGAGCUUAACUCCGAAACUGCAUUCGAUACUGCCGUGCUUGAGGACUGGAGAGGAGACUGGAAUUUACGGUGUAGCGGUGAAAUGCGUAGAUAUCGUAAGGAAGACCAGUGGCGAAGGCGGGUCUCUGGACAGUUCCUGACACUGAGGCACGAAAGCCAGGGGAGCAAACGGG